CCUCUCAUGGCGUAGUGGUUAACGCGCCCCAACUAGAGAUCGGGGAGUCGUGAGUUCAAUUCUCACUGAGAAGA
Molecule: non-coding RNA, 74 nt
Organism: Aedes aegypti (yellow fever mosquito)
Lineage: Eukaryota; Metazoa; Arthropoda; Insecta; Diptera; Culicidae
Source: Rfam